UACGGAAGGCAGCAGUGGGGAAUAUUGCACAAUGGGCGCAAGCCUGAUGCAGCCAUGCCGCGUGUAUGAAGAAGGCCUUCGGGUUGUAAAGUACUUUCAGUCGUGAGGAAGGUGUUAAGGUUAAUAACCUUAGCAAUUGACGUUAGCGACAGAAGAAGCACCGGCUAACUCCGUGCCAGCAGCCGCGGUAAUACGGAGGGUGCGAGCGUUAAUCGGAAUUACUGGGCGUAAAGGGCACGCAGGCGGUUAAUUAAGUUGGAUGUGAAAUCCCCGGGCUUAACCUGGGAAUGACAUUCAAGACUGGUUAGCUAGAGUCUUGUAGAGGGGGUAGAAUUCCAUGUGUAGCGGUGAAAUGCGUAGAGAUGUGGAGGAAUACCGGUGGCGAAGGCGGCCCCUGGGACAAAGACUGACGCUCAUGUGCGAAAGCGUGGGGAGCAAAC
Molecule: ribosomal RNA, 440 nt
Filed under: uncultured bacterium
Lineage: Bacteria
Description: bacterial SSU rRNA
Rfam family: Bacterial small subunit ribosomal RNA
Source: RNAcentral